RNAcentral lists this ribosomal RNA (1463 nucleotides) under uncultured Klebsiella sp. RNAcentral describes it as "bacterial SSU rRNA". It matches the Rfam family "Bacterial small subunit ribosomal RNA". The record is from RNAcentral. Lineage: Bacteria; Pseudomonadati; Pseudomonadota; Gammaproteobacteria; Enterobacterales; Enterobacteriaceae.
AUUGAACGCUGGCGGCAGGCCUAACACAUGCAAGUCGAGCGGUAGCACAGAGAGCUUGCUCUCGGGUGACGAGCGGCGGACGGGUGAGUAAUGUCUGGGAAACUGCCUGAUGGAGGGGGAUAACUACUGGAAACGGUAGCUAAUACCGCAUAAUGUCGCAAGACCAAAGUGGGGGACCUUCGGGCCUCAUGCCAUCAGAUGUGCCCAGAUGGGAUUAGCUAGUAGGUGGGGUAACGGCUCACCUAGGCGACGAUCCCUAGCUGGUCUGAGAGGAUGACCAGCCACACUGGAACUGAGACACGGUCCAGACUCCUACGGGAGGCAGCAGUGGGGAAUAUUGCACAAUGGGCGCAAGCCUGAUGCAGCCAUGCCGCGUGUGUGAAGAAGGCCUUCGGGUUGUAAAGCACUUUCAGCGGGGAGGAAGGCGUUAAGGUUAAUAACCUUGGCGAUUGACGUUACCCGCAGAAGAAGCACCGGCUAACUCCGUGCCAGCAGCCGCGGUAAUACGGAGGGUGCAAGCGUUAAUCGGAAUUACUGGGCGUAAAGCGCACGCAGGCGGUCUGUCAAGUCGGAUGUGAAAUCCCCGGGCUCAACCUGGGAACUGCAUUCGAAACUGGCAGGCUAGAGUCUUGUAGAGGGGGGUAGAAUUCCAGGUGUAGCGGUGAAAUGCGUAGAGAUCUGGAGGAAUACCGGUGGCGAAGGCGGCCCCCUGGACAAAGACUGACGCUCAGGUGCGAAAGCGUGGGGAGUAAACAGGAUUAGAUACCCUGGUAGUCCACGCCGUAAACGAUGUCGAUUUGGAGGUUGUGCCCUUGAGGCGUGGCUUCCGGAGCUAACGCGUUAAAUCGACCGCCUGGGGAGUACGGCCGCAAGGUUAAAACUCAAAUGAAUUGACGGGGGCCCGCACAAGCGGUGGAGCAUGUGGUUUAAUUCGAUGCAACGCGAAGAACCUUACCUGGUCUUGACAUCCACAGAACUUUCCAGAGAUGGAUUGGUGCCUUCGGGAACUGUGAGACAGGUGCUGCAUGGCUGUCGUCAGCUCGUGUUGUGAAAUGUUGGGUUAAGUCCCGCAACGAGCGCAACCCUUAUCCUUUGUUGCCAGCGGUUAGGCCGGGAACUCAAAGGAGACUGCCAGUGAUAAACUGGAGGAAGGUGGGGAUGACGUCAAGUCAUCAUGGCCCUUACGACCAGGGCUACACACGUGCUACAAUGGCAUAUACAAAGAGAAGCGACCUCGCGAGAGCAAGCGGACCUCAUAAAGUAUGUCGUAGUCCGGAUUGGAGUCUGCAACUCGACUCCAUGAAGUCGGAAUCGCUAGUAAUCGUAGAUCAGAAUGCUACGGUGAAUACGUUCCCGGGCCUUGUACACACCGCCCGUCACACCAUGGGAGUGGGUUGCAAAAGAAGUAGGUAGCUUAACCUUCGGGAGGGCGCUUACCACUUUGUGAUUCAUGACUGGGGUGA